RNAcentral lists this non-coding RNA (128 nucleotides) under Candidatus Microgenomates bacterium. Lineage: Bacteria; Candidatus Microgenomatota. The record is from RNAcentral.
GGAAGGGGGUGGAAAUCCCCCUCUGUGCCGCAACUGUUAAAGACAGGAACUUCCUCUCAAACUACCUUUAUUGAGCCUUCCGCGCGAGAAGGUGAAGGAGUUUUUGUGAUUUCUCCAGAGUUAGAGAC